CAGCCGCCACGGGAAUACGAAGGGGGCUAGCGUUGUUCGGAAUUACUGGGCGUAAAGCGCACGUAGGCGGACAUUUAAGUCAGGGGUGAAAUCCCGGGGCUCAACCCCGGAACUGCCUUUGAUACUGGGUGUCUAGAGUAUGGAAGAGGUGAGUGGAAUUCCGAGUGUAGAGGUGAAAUUCGUAGAUAUUCGGAGGAACACCAGUGGCGAAGGCGGCUCACUGGUCCAUUACUGACGCUGAGGUGCGAAAGCGUGGGGAGCAAACAGGAUUAGAUACCCCCGUAGUUCCUGUCUCUUAUAC
This 301-nucleotide ribosomal RNA is filed under the name uncultured bacterium. RNAcentral describes it as "partial 16S ribosomal RNA". It matches the Rfam family "Bacterial small subunit ribosomal RNA", at positions 509 to 807 of the family's 1533-position model. The record is from RNAcentral.